RNAcentral lists this ribosomal RNA (1227 nucleotides) under fungal sp. RNAcentral's name for it is "eukaryotic LSU rRNA". It matches the Rfam family "Eukaryotic large subunit ribosomal RNA", at positions 103 to 1357 of the family's 3401-position model. The record is from RNAcentral. Lineage: Eukaryota; Fungi.
AACAGCUCAAAUUUGAAAUCUGGCCUUAGGUCCGAGUUGUAAUUUGUAGAGGAUGCUUUUGGCGCGGUGCCUUCCGAGUUCCCUGGAACGGGACGCCUUAGAGGGUGAGAGCCCCGUACGGUUGGACCACCAAGCCUCUGUAAAGCUCCUUCGACGAGUCGAGUAGCUUGGGAAUGCUGCUCUAAAUGGGAGGUAAAUUUCUUCUAAAGCUAAAUAUUGGCCAGAGACCGAUAGCGCACAAGUAGAGUGAUCGAAAGAUGAAAAGCACUUUGAAAAGAGGGUUAAAUAGCACGUGAAAUUGUUGAAAGGGAAGCGUUUGCGACCAGACCUUUUCCUGGCGGAUCAUCCGGUGUUCUCACCGGUGCACUUCGUCAGGUUUAGGCCAGCAUCGGUUUCUGUAGGGGGAUAAAAGCUCUGGGAACGUAGCUCCUCCGGGAGUGUUAUAGCCCUGUGCAUAAUACCCUUAUGGGGACCGAGGACCGCGCUUCGGCAAGGAUGCUGGCGUAAUGGUCGUCAACGACCCGUCUUGAAACACGGACCAAGGAGUCGAACAUUUGUGCGAGUGUUUGGGUGUUAAACCCUCACGCGUAAUGAAAGUGAACGGAGGUGAGAGCCCUUACGGGUGCAUCAUCGACCGAUCCUGAUGUUUUCGGAUGGAUUUGAGUAAGAGCAUAACUGUUCGGACCCGAAAGAUGGUGAACUAUGCGUGGAUAGGGUGAAGCCAGAGGAAACUCUGGUGGAGGCUCGCAGCGGUUCUGACGUGCAAAUCGAUCGUCAAAUCUGCGCAUGGGGGCGAAAGACUUAUCGAACCAUCUAGUAGCUGGUUACCGCCGAAGUUUCCCUCAGGAUAGCAGUGUUGUUCUUCAGUUUUAUGAGGUAAAGCGAAUGAUUAGGGACUCGGGGGCGCUUUUUUGCCUUCAUCCAUUCUCAAACUUUAAAUAUGUAAGAAGCCCUUGUUACUUAGUUGAACGUGGGCAUUCGAAUGUACCAACACUAGUGGGCCAUUUUUGGUAAGCAGAACUGGCGAUGCGGGAUGAACCGAACGCGGGGUUAAGGUGCCGGAGUGGACGCUCAUCAGACACCACAAAAGGUGUUAGCACAUUUAGACAAUAGGACGGUGGCCAUGGAAGUCGGAAUCCGCUAAGGACUGUGUAACAACUCACCUAUCGAAUGUGCUAGCCCUGAAAAUGGAUGGCGCUCAAGCGUCCCACCCAUACCCCGCCCUCA